UACGUAGGGGGCGAGCGUUGUCCGGAUUUAUUGGGCGUAAAGCGCUCGCAGGCGGCUCGAUGCGUCGUGCGUGAAAGACCCCGGCUCAACUGGGGGGCGUCGUGCGAUACGGUCGGGCUGGAGGCCAGUAGGGGGAUGCGGAAUUCCGGGUGUAGUGGUGGAAUGCGUAGAGAUCCGGAGGAACACCAGCGGCGAAGGCGGCAUCCUGGACUGGACCUGACGCUCAGGAGCGAAAGCGUGGGGAGCGAUCCGG
This 253-nucleotide ribosomal RNA is filed under the name uncultured bacterium. RNAcentral's name for it is "partial 16S ribosomal RNA". It matches the Rfam family "Bacterial small subunit ribosomal RNA", at positions 524 to 776 of the family's 1533-position model. The record is from RNAcentral.